This 45-nucleotide non-coding RNA is filed under the name Echinostoma caproni. The record is from RNAcentral. Lineage: Eukaryota; Metazoa; Platyhelminthes; Trematoda; Plagiorchiida; Echinostomatidae.
GCACUGCUAACGAGUCCCAAAUAGGGCGAAACAGCUGUCCGGUGC